GCACUCUCACAUCUAACCUUUGGGUUAAAAUGUGGAAUUGGGAUGCGCCGGUUAUCAUAACGGCCCUUCUAAAUUUCAGUUCUUGGCUGCUUCCUAGUACAGCAGUUUGGCCUAAUAGUUUUGAGUCUCCAAUUCAAAUCUUUGGCUAACAUUUGCUUCAGGAAGUCAGUCUUGAUAUACAGAAAUCUCAUUCUAA
RNAcentral lists this unclassified non-coding RNA (196 nucleotides) under uncultured Umbelopsis. Its description in RNAcentral is "sequence contains ITS2". The record is from RNAcentral. Lineage: Eukaryota; Fungi; Mucoromycota; Umbelopsidomycetes; Umbelopsidales; Umbelopsidaceae.